Molecule: long non-coding RNA, 229 nt
Filed under: Mytilus galloprovincialis (Mediterranean mussel)
Lineage: Eukaryota; Metazoa; Mollusca; Bivalvia; Mytilida; Mytilidae
Source: RNAcentral
UUUACUUUUGUAAAAUUCUGUAGAUUUUUUAAAAUAUUUAUUUUGUCGUUCUUGCUUUUGUUUCGUUGCAUUGCUAAUUACAUACAUGAUUGCUUUGAUUUGUAAGGUAGUAGUAGCUAAUAAAUAUACACAAGUGUAUAAAUGAAUCUUAAUGUCCAUCGCUGAAGAUAGAGAUUAGAUACUGCUUCCCGAUAGCCCGGUGUCAAUUAUUUAAUGAAAAAUUGCCAAA